CGGGACGGGUGAGUAACGCGUGGAUAACCUGCCUCACACAGGGGGACAACAGCCGGAAACGGCUGCUAAUACCGCAUAACACAAGUAAUUCGCAUGAAUAACUUGCCAAAGAUUUUAUCGGUGCGAGAUGGAUCCGCGUCUGAUUAGCCAGUUGGCGGGGUAACGGCCCACCAAAGCGACGAUCAGUAGCCGACCUGAGAGGGUGACCGGCCACAUUGGGACUGAGACACGGCCCAA
RNAcentral lists this ribosomal RNA (237 nucleotides) under uncultured bacterium. RNAcentral's name for it is "partial 16S ribosomal RNA". It matches the Rfam family "Bacterial small subunit ribosomal RNA", at positions 100 to 334 of the family's 1533-position model. The record is from RNAcentral.